AACGAACGCUGGCGGCAUGCCUAAUACAUGCAAGUAGAACGCACAGUUUAUGCCUUGGCUUGCUCCACCAUAGAAUGUGAGUUACGAACGCGUGAGUAACGCGUAGGUAACCUGCCUGGGAGCGGGGGAUAACUAUUGGUAACGAUAGCUAAUACCGCAUGAUAUUAAUUAUUGCAUGGUAAUUAAUUGAAAGUUGCAAUUGAACCACUAUCAGAUGCACCUACGUUGUAUUAGCUAGUAGGUGAGGUAACGGCUCACCUAGGCGAGGAUACAUAGCCGACCUGAGAGGCUGAGAGGCCACACUGGUAUUGGGACACGGCCCAGACUCCUACGAGAGGGAGCCGUAGGGGAUCUUCGGGAAUGGAAGAAAGUGUGACUGAGCAACGCCGCGUGAGUGAAUAAGGCUGUCGGAUCGUAAAGCUGUGUUGGACGAGAAGAAUGUGUGUGUGAGUGGAAAGUGCACAUUGUGACGGUACCUUAACAGAAAGGUACGGCUAACUACGUG
RNAcentral lists this ribosomal RNA (505 nucleotides) under uncultured bacterium. RNAcentral describes it as "partial 16S ribosomal RNA". It matches the Rfam family "Bacterial small subunit ribosomal RNA", at positions 29 to 507 of the family's 1533-position model. The record is from RNAcentral.